RNAcentral lists this transfer RNA (71 nucleotides) under Marmota monax (woodchuck). Its description in RNAcentral is "tRNA.Ala". It matches the Rfam family "tRNA". From Rfam's summary of the family: Transfer RNA (tRNA) molecules are approximately 80 nucleotides in length. Their secondary structure includes four short double-helical elements and three loops (D, anti-codon, and T loops). The record is from RNAcentral. Lineage: Eukaryota; Metazoa; Chordata; Mammalia; Rodentia; Sciuridae.
GAGGUUGUGGCUCAGUGGUAGAGUGCUUGCCUCGCAUGCAUGAGGCACUGGGUUCAAUUCUCAGCACCACA